AAUCUCCCUAACAGAUGCAUCGGAAAGGGAAUUACCGUCUACCCUUGCGUUUACUAUGGGGUGGUACAAAAAGAAAUCAAUCGCAUAGAGAGGUGGGGGGGGGAAUAAUCGCCGCCCGCCCCAGAAACUAACUGCAGAGACUAUUCUCUCCCCGCCUCCCGAUUAGGGUUUUUUUUUUUUAAUCAACCCGGGUUACGCGCGCAUGCACACACGCCGGCUGCGGCCAAUUCUCGCGGGACCCGGCGUUCUCGCUAUAAAAAGUCACCAGAGGGGCUCUUCCUUCCUUUCCCAUUUGAUAACUGUGCAGGUGCAAGAAGUUGGUUGUCAGCUGGUAAGCAUAGUCUUCCACUCUGCAGCUGAAUGGCCUGGAAACAAUAACUGAAUGAAUGGAUAUCCUUGGUAAGAAUAUAUGUUACUGCUUCCUUUAGAACACUGUAUAAGCCUUCCAUCUGUACUCAAAUUUCAGAACAUGUCCUGGUCAUCAGGCACCUCAAGAACUGUUUUUAAGGGCAGGUAUUUGUUGUGCUGCGUUCCACACUUCUCAGUUAUAUCCAAAGCACUAGGGCCAAAUAUCAGGAUUUUCCUCUAAGAAGCUGAAUGCUUUGUGCAUGAUCAUUUUCUCUUCAUAAUUGCCCUCUGAUAGAAGGCUGAGAAAUAGUGAUAGGCCUGAUAGCACCAGUAGGUUUCCUGACUCACAAGGAGAGAUUUAAAGCUGGGUCUGUGAGUCUAAGACAACACUAAAGAUUAUAGCAGACUUGAUAUGGUAAUGAAACCUUUUUGCAUCCAGCAAAAGUACGUUAAACUCAAAUUCCUUGUGGCUUUGCCCCAUUAUAUCUUUUCAUAGCAAAAUUUAGGCCAUCCAGUCUAUGAAGCAGCACUUUGCGUGAUUGCUGUGUGAAAUACCGCUGCUUAAAGUGGGUGCUUUGUAAUUAAUGCAUCAGUGCCUCCUUUUUGUCUAGCACUUUUUGCCAGUGCUAGACUCACUGUUGGAUGGCUUAGGAAGAAUGUUGUCUCUGUUUAAAAAGUUUAUAACUAUAAUGUGGGCAGACUAAUGAAGUAUGAGAACACAGCCCAGGACCUUAUCAAGGAUUCUAGUGGCAUGAGUAGCCCAUUAUCUGUUAUCAAGCCAUAUAAGUAAUUAUGUAUUACAUGAUUUUAAGGGAUUUUACUCUUGAGAAAUUAUGUUUCAUGUGGUAUGAAAGCUUAAUGUCUUCACUUAGCAUUAUAUCUGGAUGAUGAAUUACAAAUGGCAGGGCUUUGAGUCAAAGGGCUAAAUCUUUUGAUAGUUGAAUCUUCUAGAGUAGAUCAAUCUGUUGAAUGAAAGGAGUGUGUGAGUUGCUGGUCCUUCUCAUUCAGUGGAUCAACUUUGGCUUGUGCUAGCAAUAAGAUAUAGCACACAAAGAUAGAUGGAACUGUGUUUGACAUCCUGUCCCCUUUUUAGCUUUGCCCUCUUAAGGCUGUUAGUGCUUUAAGUGGCCAGUAUGGAGGGGUAAAUUAAUUCUCCCUUAAACCUAGAGUUGAGGAUAGUACUUAACUCUGGAUCCUGUCUGGAGGAACAAAAUGUAGUACAUUGUUUAUUAAAUGAUUGGUGUGAUGCAUAAUAAAAUUACUCUUAACUCCUGGGAUCA
RNAcentral lists this long non-coding RNA (1628 nucleotides) under Pogona vitticeps (central bearded dragon). RNAcentral describes it as "lncRNA (ENSPVIG00000001264.1)". The stretch from base 1444 to 1561 matches the Rfam family "Small nucleolar RNA SNORA26". Lineage: Eukaryota; Metazoa; Chordata; Lepidosauria; Squamata; Agamidae. The record is from RNAcentral.